This 253-nucleotide ribosomal RNA is filed under the name uncultured bacterium. RNAcentral's name for it is "partial 16S ribosomal RNA". It matches the Rfam family "Archaeal small subunit ribosomal RNA", at positions 474 to 727 of the family's 1478-position model. The record is from RNAcentral.
UACCAGCACCCCGAGCGGUCGGGACGAUUAUUGGGCCUAAAGCAUCCGUAGGCGGUUUUACAAGUCCUCCGUUAAAUCCAGCUGCUUAACAGAUGGGCUGCGGAGGAUACUAUAAGACUAGGAGGCAGGAGAGGCAAGCGGUACUCAGUGGGUAGGGGUAAAAUCCGUUGAUCCAGUGAAGACCACCAGUGGCGAAGGCGGCUUGCCAGAAUGCGCUCGACGGUGAGGGAUGAAAGCUGGGGGAGCAAACAGG